GGCGGAGGGGGGUGUGCGACAGAGCCCGCCCCUGCCGCGCCUCCACCCCCUACGCCCUCUGGCAGGCACCCGGCCAGGUGCUGAGGUCCAGGCGGACCAAGGCGGCCCGAUGGCGGGGCAGUGAGAUCGCCCAGAGUCAGAGUGAAGAAAGAGGAGGUGGUGGGAGAAUGGCACUGAGCCCCCAAGGCUACUCGAGAUGUAAAACACACUGAUACCUCUGGUCUUUAAUUCUCUGGGAAUCAAGUCCUUAAGAAACAAUGACUUGAGGAAAACCUCACAAAUGCUUGGUGUACCGUGCAAACUCAAGUUGGCUCACAGUUCAUGCUGCCCUGUCCUUACGCUGCAUGGGGCCAAAGGACUUCGAACAGGGCCUAUUCACCCAUUUCCAGUUGAAAGAAAAUAUAUUUCACAUCCCUAUCAAAAAAAAAAAAAAAAGAAUCCUCCGCUUCACCACAUGAUUGACUCCAGGAAUAGCUAACUCUAUCAGGGUGGAAAAACUGUGAAGGCUCCGAAACAGAUUGGAGAAUAUAAAGAAAAGAAACCAAUCCUGAAGAAUCCAGAAAGAAUCCUGAAGUCAUAUUAAACAUAUAUAACUCUCUCAAUUAGCACAUUAUCAUGGCUUUAUGAUGUCUGUGUCCUCCCAGGAGAAAACAUCAGAGAAAGAGAAGAAAGAAGAUCUUGAUGAAGAAUUCAGAAGGCACCUGCGUUUGUAGCCCCUUGAACAUGAGCCUGGAGCCCUGUGAUGAAGAAUAUAAAUAUAACUUAAAGCAGAGCAACUGCUACCUUUUGCCAACAUGUGUAAGCACAUGAUAGUUCAGUGAUGCCAGAUUUUCCAAUUUUUCGAAGUUGAAAAUUUGUGUUUUUAUUUAAAGUCUUUCCAUUUUUAAAAGUUAGCUACUAAUUCAUUUUUCUAGUGCUCUGACAAACAAACGUAAGACCUGAAACUACCAGCCUGAGCCUACCUGGUGCCAUUCUUCCCUGAACUGCAGGAAAGGCAAUGAUGUAAGGAAGCCUUUGAAACACGAGUGGACCUGCUGUGGCUCCAUUUCUAGAAACACAGGUAUAGAAAUCAGAUCAUGAUUUUCCAAGGGCAAAUCUCAUUUAAUUGAAUCUAUGGGUACAUUCACUAAGCAUUUUCUGUACACAUGGGCGCUGUGAAGAGGGUAGAGACCCAAAUGGGACCAAACCAUACUCUGGCCUUUAAGAAGUAGGUUGCCAACCACAACUAAAUGAGUGUUCAGCUACCUUGUUCCCAAAUUGAAGUGUAGCCUUUUAUCUUACAGAGGACUCAGAAAGUUCCAGAGUUCUCUGUUACUAGGUACUCCUUUACUAAUGCUUCAGGGCAACAAGUGUUCCUGCUGCUACUGUUACUACUAGUAACAGCCACUACUGCAAAUACUACUGGUCCUAUGAUAACUGUUACCACCAUAUAUUAUUGUGUCUUCAUUUUGUGUUAAACACAUUAGGUGAACAAUUUCUAAUGUUCACAAUACUCCUAGAUGAUGGGUACUGUUAUUACACCUGUUUUACAUAUGGUUGAUUUAGUCCAAUCAGCUUUGAUGAGACCACAUGUUGGUAAUGAUCAAAAAUUGAGUUGAAACACAGGAUUAGUGGAGUCUUUCAUUCAUAUCAUGCUGUUUCAGUUCACACCUAGCCUCCUACCAAGACUUUUCAUCUUAUGUCUCAUACAUUUAGGAACUGCUGCCCUUUGAUUAAUAAGUAAAUCAAUUAUUUGGUAGAAUACUGCAAGCUGAUAAAGACAUUAUCAUCUUCCCUUUUUUCCCUGGAUAAUAUCUUAAAUGAGACCCUCCAUGCCUUAACCUCCAGAAGUGACUAAUGAUAGGAAUGUUAGCCAUUACUGAGGCUCUAUUUUGGUAUUGUUUUUGCACCAGCAGCAUUAAUGCUCUGAUAAAGUCAUGCUGUUUGGCAUCAUAUACUCUUCUGGCAUCAGACUGACUGAGCUGGCACAGUGGUAUCUGAAAUCUAAAGGUGGCAUCAGCAGAUUUUUUUUUCUAUGAAGGGCUAGAUAGCAGAGACUUGAGUGGGGCUUGUGUACAAUCUCCGUUGAAACUUCUGUCUUCACUGAACAACUCUACUGUCAUUGGUGAAAAGCAGACACAGACACUAGUAUACAAUGAAACCAAUAAAACCAAACAAUAAAAGGACCAAUAAAACUUUACUCAUAAAAACAGAUAGUGGGCCAUAUUUAGUCUGAAAACUACUUUGUCAACCCUUGGUCUACUUGGUCUUAGGCCAGCUCUGUGAUCCGGGAAGACAACACAUAAACCUGCUGAACCCCACUUUCUUCAUCAGUAAGCAUGCAUAUCUCACUACUACCUAAACUAACUUAAGAAGAUGAUAAGGCUAUACUGAGGAUGAAAUUAGAGAAUUUACAGAAAAUCACUGUCAACUGUCUAGUGCUCACAUAAUUAUUUAAUAAUUAGCUCACAAAGUAGGGAGACUUUACUGACUAAUAUUGGCCUCCUGGCCAACUACCACCUUUGUUUUCCUUUCUUCUAGCCCUCCACUAAAUUCUCUACCUAUUAAUCCCUAUUCUUAAUCCCUCCUUUACACAUACACACACACAUACACACACACACCACACACACACAAUAUCACAACACACACACAUCCCUAGAACUAUAUUUUUACAGACCUCAGCUAUACCCCAGGGCCCUCUUUUUUCAUCCAUCCUCUACUAGGCUUGAUUUUUGUGUGCCACCACUCAGUUGUCCUUCCUCAGAUUAGACCACUAAUGCAGAAUAAAUAUUAUUAUUGGCUCAAUUAUCUUUUUGAAAGGGGUGAUUUGUGGAUAAAUGGCUUAUUCCAACAUGCCCUUGGAACAUCUCAACAAUCCUAGUGAAGUGAGUGAUUCUUUUUAGAGUUCAUUGGAUUACUUCUGAGAAACUCACUUAUAGUCCAAAACAGCAACCCAGCUCUAGCAAACCAGGAGAAAUUUGGAUUUCAAGGAUGCCAUGUAAAGUAAAUUUCAUACACAGAAUUGCAAUUGCAGAAUAGGAGCAUGGACAGAGUGCAAAAACAGGUGUGGCCAGGAAGAAAGACUGAACCUGAACCUACUUGCUGGUUGCUGAAAUAAGUAAAUUAAAAGAUGCCCCUCCGACAUUACUUUCUCAGGAAUGGUAAUUCUUCUUUGCUUUAUGAAUUAUAUUCCUGCCUUUUAUAACACUUACUUUUGAUCCUAAAUAUUAAAAGUUCUCUUUUGAGGGCUGUGGCUGUGGUUCAGUGGUAGAGCGAUUGCCUCACACAUGUGAGGCACUGGGUUUGAUCCUCAGCAUCACGUAAAAAAUAAAUGAAUAAAUAAAGAUAUUGUGUCUAUCUGCAGCUAAAAAAAAAAAAGUUCUCUUUUCUAUAUUCUAAGGUAUAUGAAAGCAGACACCAUUUCUAUUGUGUCAAUUUCAGCCUUUACUUCAGGGCCCAACAUGGAGCAGAGAUGAAGUAAUUAUUUGUUCAUUGAAAACUAUUUCUUAAAUAAAAAGUUGUCUUUGCAAGUAUAAAAAAAAAAGAGUCUGAGUAUGUAGCUCAAUAGGUAGCAUGCAGGAGUAGCAUGCACAAGAUCCUGGGUUCUAUCUGCAGCACUGGAAAAAAGAGGGGAAGAGAAAAAGUUUUUAGUGAUUUCUAAGCUCCAACUCUUAAAGAAUUACAAGUAAAAUAAAAAAUUUAAAAAAACCCUGGACUUUCUGGAGUCCUCAUAAUAUACAGUGUUGUCCUUAGACUUCAUUCUCUGAUCCCAGUUUAGAAUCCUGUGCAUUGAACUACUGUUCAUAUUUAGCAUUAGUUGGCACCUUUCUAUUAGGGAGGUGCUAGAUGAUUCCUCAAAUUGGUUAAGGUUCCUCUAUCAACAUUUCCUUUUAGAGUUGUUACAUGGAGCCAGUGCUGGGCUAGAGUCAACUGGAUACAUGUCUUUCCAAUUUUGCCUUUAGUCCUUUUCACUUCAAUAUUUUAAAAUCUGCUUUGGUAGGAUUAUUAACACAUAAAUAUAAGCAAAUGCUACUAAUCAGGCUCUUUUCAAAAAACAGUUGUUAAACAUAUACUCACACAGCACUACUUUUUCUUUUAGAGGCUUACUCAGGGGUAAAGAGCCUGAUAAUUAAAGCUCAAGACAUUGCAAGGAAAGUCUAAUAUGGAACAUCCAAUUCCAAAUUAAUUAUAUUGGGUCAGGCACUGAGAAAGUCACCUUUCCUCAAGCCUCAUUCUAUGAGAGGGCUCCAACUUUUUCUCCCAGUCAAAAUCAGCUAAGUUUUUGUGACUAUUGUUUCCUCUUACUAUUAAAGGGUCCUUCAAAUUUCAUAUAUAGCCUCUUCCUUGAUGAAGCUGGAAAUCAGGGCCUCCUGUGCUACGAAGUUGUCAGAGAAAGAAGGAAAGGAAUGAUAAGCCCCAAGGAUUUAUUACUUUACAUUCACACCUUGUGUACUUUCAUUAUUUAAUAUUAUAAUCUAAAAUUCUUGUACUCUAUGGUUCAAAGGGUUUAGCCCAUAUAAUAAUAAAAAAAAAAAUGCUUAAGUAUCCCAGCCUACAUUUUAAGGACCUUUCAGAUUUGGGUUCAACAAAAUGCAAAUAUUUGUUUACUUGCAUGCUAUAGGAAGAUAGAUAGUACCGUUGCAGUCAUCACCAGCUGAGCCAUAAUUUCAAGUAAUUACAUUCUCUCAAGGGAAGAAAGCUCAUGUAAGUGGUUUUGGGGGGAUUCAGUUUACUAAGACUCUUGAUCUCAUUUAGCAAAUGCUUAAUGAGUUAUCAAAGUCUCUUGAAAGGAUGCUUGUUGGUGUUCUACAUACAAGUAGUAUUUUACUAGAUGAUGGAGAGUAGUUUUAACCAAUGUUUUAUCAUUGCAAGUAAAAGCUAAUUAUGCUUUGUUUUUAUUAAUCCCACUUGCUUGAAAGUCUUAUUCUUCCAAACAGGCUGUUUUGGAUACUACUUUAAUCUUAGUUAAUUAGAUAUAGGAAAGUGAAUCCAAUUCUCAAUUAUAGGCAUAAAGGUAAAAAUACACUAAUAUGAAGUCAAUUGGUAGAUAAAAAGAGAAUGUAUCUCAAAAGAAAUAAUAACAAAUGAAAUAAAUAAAUAAAAUUUAUUACUGAACCCACUUAUAUGCAAAAUAAUUUUACCACUUAAUAAAAUAGCCCUUGUGAUUUUUCUGAGUAUUUGGGGAACUGCUCAAUGAAUAAUACCUACAAGUGAUAUUUACUGAUCUAAGAUUCAGAUGUAUAACUUGAAGCUACAAGAAACCUGAUGCUAUGGCCCCCUUGCAUUCCUUGACUAAACCAGAUACAAAUAAAAAGUAAAGCUGUCUAAAAGUUAAACAGUUAAGGGGGAAGGAUGAACUCAUUUUCUUAUAUAUGAUCAAAUUUUAAAGCAAUUUUUUAACAAUACUAUUGAUACAUGUAUACAUUGGCUAUACCAGCAUUCUUCUAAUUAGUAUUCAAAUGAUUCAUUUUUCUCCAUGCUUUUACUUUGACCUGAUGUGUAUCUUUAUAUUCAAAAGGAGUUUCUUGUAGACAGCACAAGGUUGGGUCUUGCUUUUAAUUAGAAUGUUUAGACCAUUUACAUUUAUUGUAAUUAUUGAUUCAAAUCUACCAUUUUACUGUUAUUUUUUCUCUUUGUUUUUGUUGGGUUUUUUUCCCUUCAUUUCCUUCCUUCUUUUAGGUUAUUUUUGUGAUUUUAUUUUAGCCCGGCAUAUGAUCUUUUUUGGUGAAUGUUCUGUGUGCAUUGAAAAAUAAUGUGUAUUCUACAAUUAAUGAAUAAAGAAUUAUAUAAUGUU
Molecule: long non-coding RNA, 5773 nt
Organism: Ictidomys tridecemlineatus (thirteen-lined ground squirrel)
Lineage: Eukaryota; Metazoa; Chordata; Mammalia; Rodentia; Sciuridae
Source: RefSeq, a predicted model, not a curated record